GACUUGCCGCGCGACUGGCGAUAGACGGUCCCCUUCUGGGAUCUGAGGUGGUGAACCACCGGGAAGCGCGGCCGGCACCAGGCAUCUGGCCUGAUCGCUGCUACGCCGUUCGCCUGGGCAGCCCUC
This 126-nucleotide non-coding RNA is filed under the name Aquabacterium sp. CECT 9606. RNAcentral's name for it is "ZMP-ZTP". It matches the Rfam family "ZMP/ZTP riboswitch aptamer (pfl RNA motif)". Rfam says of the family: Previously known as pfl RNA. Lineage: Bacteria; Pseudomonadati; Pseudomonadota; Betaproteobacteria; Burkholderiales; Sphaerotilaceae. The record is from RNAcentral.